This 301-nucleotide ribosomal RNA is filed under the name uncultured bacterium. RNAcentral describes it as "partial 16S ribosomal RNA". It matches the Rfam family "Bacterial small subunit ribosomal RNA", at positions 509 to 810 of the family's 1533-position model. The record is from RNAcentral.
CAGCGCCACGGUAACACAGAGGGUGCGAGCGUUAAUCGGAUUUACUGGGCGUAAAGCGUGCGUAGGCGGCUUCUUAAGUCGGAUGUGAAAUCCCUGAGCUUAACUUAGGAAUUGCAUUCGAUACUGGGAAGCUAGAGUAUGGGAGAGGAUGGUAGAAUUCCAGGUGUAGCGGUGAAAUGCGUAGAGAUCUGGAGGAAUACCGAUGGCGAAGGCAGCCAUCUGGCCUAAUACUGACGCUGAGGUACGAAAGCAUGGGGAGCAAACAGGAUUAGAUACCCGCGUAGUCCCUGUCUCUUAUAAC